AAUUUAGUUACUCACAGCUAAUCCGUCGCGGUGUUUCUAUCGCACCAUAGGGUUUGCGGCAGUUGCGCGGCCCUCCGACGAUCGCGUAAUGGCGUGGGGGCGACGAAACCGUGGGAUUGGAUGUAGCCUCCGCCAGCCUCCAUGUCAGCGAGCGCAUCGGCAGGGACGUCGCCGGCCGCCUCGACCUCGAGGAGGCUAUCGAAGCCUUGCUCUAUACUAGCCUCCCCCUACUCCACCCUCCCCAAAGAGGAACUCCUGUUCUUAUAGGAGAAAAGGAAAUUUUGGAGAAGUAUAUUUAGGUUGCUUCUGUUAGAAAGUUUGUAGAUUCACUGAUAUUGCUACUAUGACAAUCCAGAUUAUUCUGUGUGAAGCUCUUUCUAGUGGUGGAGUUGCAGAAGCAUGUUCUGUAGUAAAGAGGGUCGGUUCAAAUAUCUAUAUUGGAGUGGAGGGUCGCUUGACUUUAGAGAUUAUUUGUCUUCAUCUUGAAAUGGAUGCUUAGCAAUGUAUGAAUAUUCUACAAACAGACCUCAUCAUACGUUCCAGAGCCCUUCUUGCUGCUUGUAAGGUUGAACCAAAGCCUGUAUUAAGCACAUAUGAUCAGCUUUUAUCAUAUGAUAUUGUCGUACUCUGUGUGUGGGUUGGGUCUGUAUUUGCACAUACAUUAAGGACCACAGCUGUUGGCACUUCUCCAAUCCUUGGUGGAUUACUCUUGUUACAACAGACAGCAAUCAUCAAGCAAGGAGCUCGAGAUAAGAUAACCAGUUUAGCAAAUGGGCAUACUUCCACAAAAUCUGACGGAGCCAGAUUACAAAGGCUUUUAGAGAACUUGAAGAAACAACUUUAGCAACACUCUGAAAGUUGUUGGAAAAGUUUACCCGCACAAGGAGACUUUGUAUUGUUGUAACACUGCCUCGUAUCACAUUUGAUCAAUCAAAAUUUUACCUGGAUCCAGCAAAGCUCCAUCGGCCCACUGAAGUGUAGGCCGUGCAUGCUGACUGAAGGUUUCAGUUUAACACAUUUGGAUCGUAAUGCUUGUUGCAGGGCUGCAACUUGGGUGGGUGUCGAAUUUGAGCGACUCUGCAGGUUUUUCCCAUUCGUGCCGCAAGAGCUCCCAAAAAGCAAAAGACAGUGGCAGGGAAUGGAGUAUGGACCCUGGCGGUGCAUGCUGUUCCUAUCAUGCACAGUUUGGCUGCUGCUGCUGACUUAGCUUCGCAUCAUUGACACGGCAUGUUCCAUCAAGUCUUAUUGACGAUGGUAUUUUAAUUGCCCAUCAUCAGCCAUCCACUUUUCACAUCAAAAACCAAGGGCCUGACGACACGCAGCUACCAGCCAUUUGUGGACACUUGUUGCAUUCCGGGCUCCUCUUCUCUGCAUGCCUAUGGCAAAAUUUGAUAUCUGGAAGAGACGAAUUCGUAUCUGAACUCCACUUCAUUUCGGGGCACAGGAAUAAAAAUAAAUCAUGCGUGCAUUUGUUUGGUUGAUGCAUGCGUAAAGUUUCUACAGACCAAAAAAAAAAAAAGGGUCUAUUCACGAAGAGAAUUAAGGAAGUAUGUCGACUUGUGCGUGCAAGGACUUGCACGCGCUACUUGUGCGAAUUUAUUCCAGUUUGGUGCUUUGAUGAUUAAAUAUUAUGCCUACUCGUGUGUCGUGUGUGCCUAUAUGCAUGUGUAUAGAAUUGCAUAUGUUCUCUCGGGACGGUGCGAUUGUUAAGACAUGAGAUGUUAUCAUAUGAGGUCUUGGGAUCGAAACUCGGCGUGAUCCAACAUAAUCUCUCCCAUGUCUUGGUCAUUUGUACUAAUGGUUAGUAGCCAUCUGUGAUUUACCUCCUCCGUGUUAAUCUAGGGACGAGUUGGCGGGAGCGUUGGGGGCGAGCGAAUCAUCUUUAUACCACGUGUAUAGAAUUGCAUAUGAUAAUUGUGUGUAUUUAUCUCAUUUUGGCGGUCUAACAAUUCGGUAUAUUAUGCCAACUGGUGUGUGUAUUUUAUACCAUCUUAAUACUUUCGUGAUUCUGUGCUA
Molecule: long non-coding RNA, 2016 nt
Organism: Zingiber officinale
Lineage: Eukaryota; Viridiplantae; Streptophyta; Magnoliopsida; Zingiberales; Zingiberaceae
Exons: 10
Source: RefSeq, a predicted model, not a curated record